This 409-nucleotide unclassified non-coding RNA is filed under the name Acacia melanoxylon. Its description in RNAcentral is "partial contains external transcribed spacer and 18S ribosomal RNA". The stretch from base 360 to 409 matches the Rfam family "Eukaryotic small subunit ribosomal RNA", at positions 1 to 50 of the family's 1831-position model. The record is from RNAcentral. Lineage: Eukaryota; Viridiplantae; Streptophyta; Magnoliopsida; Fabales; Fabaceae.
GUGGUGUUUGGAUCGUCCCUGCCGGCUGGCUCCGUGCCCGCCCACCGAACGGUCGGCAGGCGAUCCGCGUCGGUCGUGCGAGGGUGGUAUGGUUCCCCCAGAGGCCGGUUCUUGUGCUGCCUACCCCUUCAGGGGAAUCGGGCCACUCGAUGUAAGCCUCCAUCCGGCGCCUUCCAACGGGCGCAGGAGGACAACAGGGCACCCCCCGCGUUCCACCGAGCCUCCUCGGUCGCGUGGCCCGCGGGGACGUGCGACGCUCUCGGACCCAGCGAACGCCGUGGGCGAGGACUCACGUCCCACUCCCGAAAAGAAGCUCCGAUAUAAUGCAAGACGGCCGCUCCCGCCCCCCCGAGGAAUGCUACCUGGUUGAUCCUGCCAGUAGUCAUAUGCUUGUCUCAAAGAUUAAGCC